UACGGGGGGGGCAAGCGUUGUUCGGAAUUACUGGGCGUAAAGGGCGCGUAGGCGGCCAACUAAGUCGGAUGUGAAAUCCCCAGGCUCAACUUGGGAACUGCAUCCGAUACUGGAUGGCUUGAAUUCGGGAGAGGGAUGCAGAAUUCCAGGUGUAGCGGUGAAAUGCGUAGAUAUCUGGAGGAAUACCGGUGGCGAAGGCGGCAUCCUGGACCGACAUUGACGCUGAGGCGCGAAAGCUAGGGGAGCAAACGGG
Molecule: ribosomal RNA, 253 nt
Filed under: uncultured bacterium
Lineage: Bacteria
Description: partial 16S ribosomal RNA
Rfam family: Bacterial small subunit ribosomal RNA
Source: RNAcentral